CCCUUAUCCCAGUUGCCAUCAGGUAAAGCUGGGGAACUCUGGGGAGACUGCCGGUGAUAAACCGGAGAAGGCGGGGAUGACGUCAAGUCCUCAUGGCCCUUACAUCCCGGGCUACACACGUGCUACAAUGGCAGGUACAGAGGGCUGCGAAGCCGCGAGGUGGAGCGAAUCCCAGAAAACCUGUCUCAGUCCGGAUUGAAGUCUGCAACUCGACUUCAUGAAGGCGGAAUCGCUAGUAACCGCGAAUCAGCAGGUCGCGGUGAAUACGUUCCCGGGCCUU
RNAcentral lists this ribosomal RNA (280 nucleotides) under uncultured Latescibacterota bacterium. RNAcentral's name for it is "uncultured Latescibacteria bacterium partial 16S ribosomal RNA". It matches the Rfam family "Bacterial small subunit ribosomal RNA", at positions 1103 to 1382 of the family's 1533-position model. Lineage: Bacteria; Pseudomonadati; Candidatus Latescibacterota. The record is from RNAcentral.